UACGGGGGGAGCAAGCGUUGUUCGGAUUUACUGGGCGUAAAGGGCGCGUAGGCGGCCUCCGCAAGUCAGUUGUGAAAUCUCCGAGCUUAACUCGGAAAGGUCAACUGAUACUGCGGGGCUAGAGUGCGGAAGGGGCAACCGGAAUUCUUGGUGUAGCGGUGAAAUGCGUAGAUAUCAAGAGGAACACCUGCGGCGAAGGCGGGUUGCUGGGCCGACACUGACGCUGAGGCGCGAAAGCUAGGGGAGCGAACGGG
This 254-nucleotide ribosomal RNA is filed under the name uncultured bacterium. RNAcentral's name for it is "partial 16S ribosomal RNA". It matches the Rfam family "Bacterial small subunit ribosomal RNA", at positions 524 to 776 of the family's 1533-position model. The record is from RNAcentral.